This 440-nucleotide ribosomal RNA is filed under the name uncultured Gloeotrichia sp. Its description in RNAcentral is "bacterial SSU rRNA". It matches the Rfam family "Bacterial small subunit ribosomal RNA", at positions 480 to 918 of the family's 1533-position model. Lineage: Bacteria; Bacillati; Cyanobacteriota; Cyanophyceae; Nostocales; Gloeotrichiaceae. The record is from RNAcentral.
UGAGGAAUAAGCAUCGGCUAACUCCGUGCCAGCAGCCGCGGUAAUACGGAGGAUGCAAGCGUUAUCCGGAAUGAUUGGGCGUAAAGCGUCCGCAGGUGGCUAUGUAAGUCUGCUGUUAAAGAGUCUAGCUCAACUAGAUAAAAGCAGUGGAAACUACAUGGCUAGAGUGCGUUCGGGGCAGAGGGAAUUCCUGGUGUAGCGGUGAAAUGCGUAGAGAUCAGGAAGAACACCGGUGGCGAAAGCGCUCUNCUAGGCCGCAACUGACACUGAGGGACGAAAGCUAGGGGAGCGAAUGGGAUUAGAUACCCCAGUAGUCCUAGCCGUAAACGAUGGAUACUAGGCGUGGCUUGUAUCGACCCGAGCCGUGCCGUAGCUAACGCGUUAAGUAUCCCGCCUGGGGAGUACGCACGCAAGUNUGAAACUCAAAGGAAUUGACGGGG